This is a long non-coding RNA of Magnolia sinica, 241 nucleotides long. RefSeq lists it as uncharacterized. The transcript has 3 exons. NCBI's taxonomy places the organism in Eukaryota, Viridiplantae, Streptophyta, Magnoliopsida, Magnoliales, Magnoliaceae. The record is from RefSeq and is a predicted model, not a curated record.
UGAGACACAGGGGACAAAAAAUUUAACAAAGUAUGCUUGGGACCUCCUUGCUGGCAUGCAGAAAAUUGAUUCGAAUUACUAUCCUGAGACAUUACAUCAGAUGUUCAUUGUUAAUGCUGGUACUGCUUUCAAGAUGGCUUGGAUGAGUGUAAAGAAAUUUCUUGAUCCAAAUACUAUGGAAAAGAUACAAGUGUUAGGAUCCAAAUUCCAGAGUAAAUUACUUGAAGUCAUUGACUCGAGG